RNAcentral lists this long non-coding RNA (663 nucleotides) under Coturnix japonica (Japanese quail). Its description in RNAcentral is "lncRNA (ENSCJPG00005004674.1)". Lineage: Eukaryota; Metazoa; Chordata; Aves; Galliformes; Phasianidae. The record is from RNAcentral.
AGCAAAAAACUUGCUGCUGUGAGUAAGGAACAAGCUGGCACAACGCUUAUUUAGCAAAGGACACACCAUGAUUGCUGCUAAGCUGAAUUAGAAGUUGGAGAGAGACAGUGGAGAGAAAUUCUUAAACCUGUUACCAUGGUCAUUACUCAGCACUGUGUAUUUCACUGCCACAGAUCACCGUGCAGACAUAAUGCUCAUUAUCUGUGCAGGAGGUCGCCUUUGCAUGCUGGAGGAAAACACUGGUAUGCCUUGCUAAUUUGAUUUUAAUAACUGUGCCAUGCUAUUGUUUGGCCUAGAAAUUAGAUUGCUUUUUACUAAUAUAAUUGGCUAAUUAAAACAUCUUCUUCUCUAGGAGAUGGGGAAGAUACCUACAGUUCUUCUGUGACUUGGGACAUAAUAAAGUAAACGCGAGUCAGUUUGUAGUGCAACAGGAGCUCAUUUGGAGCACAAGGCCAGGAGUGUGCAGAAUGCAAUUUCCUUUGUGGGUUCAGCACUUCAUCUUUUUACAGAAGCCAAAACUCUGACACUUGAAAAGAUGAAAGUUGUCAACUCUCAGCUGGUGUUUCAUCCAAGGGGAAAGGCCUGUGUUGACUCAAGCCAUCUAAGAGUAUUGGCAAGCUGCCCAAGCUGUAGUGAAGGCCUUAAUUCCUAUCCCAAUGCGAU